GCGAUCAUACCAGCACUAAUGCACCGGAUCCCAUCAGAACUCCGAAGUUAAGCGUGCUUGGGCGAGAGCAGUAAUAGGAUGGUUGACCCCCUGGGAAGUCCUCGUGUUGCACCU
Molecule: ribosomal RNA, 114 nt
Filed under: Zingiber officinale
Lineage: Eukaryota; Viridiplantae; Streptophyta; Magnoliopsida; Zingiberales; Zingiberaceae
Source: RNAcentral